RNAcentral lists this transfer RNA (68 nucleotides) under Alteromonas stellipolaris. It matches the Rfam family "tRNA". From Rfam's summary of the family: Transfer RNA (tRNA) molecules are approximately 80 nucleotides in length. Their secondary structure includes four short double-helical elements and three loops (D, anti-codon, and T loops). Lineage: Bacteria; Pseudomonadati; Pseudomonadota; Gammaproteobacteria; Alteromonadales; Alteromonadaceae. The record is from RNAcentral. RNAcentral also lists the same sequence under 1 other name.
GUCGUUAGCUCAGUUGGUAGAGCAGUUGACUUUUAAUCAAUUGGUCGCUGGUUCGAAUCCAGCACGAC